This 542-nucleotide ribosomal RNA is filed under the name Mesembrius peregrinus. RNAcentral describes it as "eukaryotic LSU rRNA". The record is from RNAcentral. Lineage: Eukaryota; Metazoa; Arthropoda; Insecta; Diptera; Syrphidae.
CCCGAUGAACCUGAAUAUCCGUUAUGGAAAAUUCAUCACUAAUAUUAUAAUAUUUAUUAUAUUAUAAAAAUAGUGUGCAAUUUUUCCAUAUAAGGACAUUGUAAUCUGUUAAUGUUUUAAAUAUUUAUCAAAAGAUCUAAUGCUUAAGUUCGCUUAAAUUAGUGAUUUUCGGAUUUCUGACAUUAAGUGAGUGUAUUAGAUUUGAUAAAUCGUUGACAGAUUUAAUUAUAUAUAGUGCUUAAAUUUUUCGGAAUUUUACAAUUUUAAAUUAAUCUAGUGAUUAUUUUAUUAUUGUAUGCGCUUAUAUGAUUAACAAUGCGAUAGAUUCAGGAUACCUUCGGGACCCGUCUUGAAACACGGACCAAGGAGUCUAACAUAUGUGCAAGUCAUUGGGUAUUUUUAAUAAAACCCAAUGGCGUAAUUAACUUAACUGUUAAAAUGGGAUUAGUAUAUAUUUUUUUAUAAAAUAUAUAUUCAAUCCCGGGGCGUUCUAUAUAGUUAUGCAUAAUAAUAUUUAUAUUAUUUAUGCCUCUAACUAGAGC